CCCUUAGAUGUUCUGGGCCGCACGCGUGCUACACUGAGUGGAUCAGCGGGUCAGGUUGCGCGAAAGCGUUUCCUAAUCUUUAAAUCCGCUCGUGAUGGGGAUUGACGGUUGCAAUUUUCUGUCAUGAACGAGGAAUACCUUGUAAGCGCGGGUCAUCAUCCCGCGCUGAAUACGUCCCUGCCCUUUGUACACACCGCCCGUCGCUCCUACCGAUUGAAGUUUUCGGUGAGUUGACAGGAGGAUUUUUUUGAAACUGGUUCGCCAGUGGAUUUUAGAUCCAAAUGCCAACGAAUCGAUGGCCUUAGAGGAAGGAGAAGUCGUAACA
Molecule: ribosomal RNA, 325 nt
Filed under: uncultured eukaryote
Lineage: Eukaryota
Description: partial 18S ribosomal RNA
Rfam family: Eukaryotic small subunit ribosomal RNA
Source: RNAcentral